Molecule: ribosomal RNA, 1406 nt
Filed under: Synechococcus sp. MI0608F
Lineage: Bacteria; Bacillati; Cyanobacteriota; Cyanophyceae; Synechococcales; Synechococcaceae
Description: 16S ribosomal RNA
Rfam family: Bacterial small subunit ribosomal RNA
Source: RNAcentral
GUUAGUGGCGGACGGGUGAGUAACGCGUGAGAAUCUGCCCUCAGGAGGGGGAUAACGGUUGGAAACGACCGCUAAUACCCCAUAUGCCGCGAGGUGAAAUGAAUUUCGCCUGAGGAUGAGCUCGCGUCUGAUUAGCUAGUUGGUGGGGUAAGAGCCUACCAAGGCUUCGAUCAGUAGCUGGUCUGAGAGGAUGAUCAGCCACACUGGGACUGAGACACGGCCCAGACUCCUACGGGAGGCAGCAGUGGGGAAUUUUCCGCAAUGGGCGAAAGCCUGACGGAGCAACGCCGCGUGAGGGAUGAAGGCCUCUGGGCUGUAAACCUCUUUUAUCAAGGAAGAAGAUCUGACGGUACUUGAUGAAUAAGCCACGGCUAAUUCCGUGCCAGCAGCCGCGGUAAUACGGGAGUGGCAAGCGUUAUCCGGAAUUAUUGGGCGUAAAGCGUCCGCAGGCGGUCUUACAAGUCUGUCGUUAAAGCGUGGAGCUUAACUCCAUUUCGGCGAUGGAAACUGUAAGACUAGAGUGUGGUAGGGGCAGAGGGAAUUCCCGGUGUAGCGGUGAAAUGCGUAGAUAUCGGGAAGAACACCAGUGGCGAAGGCGCUCUGCUGGGCCAUAACUGACGCUCAUGGACGAAAGCUAGGGGAGCGAAAGGGAUUAGAUACCCCUGUAGUCCUAGCCGUAAACGAUGAACACUAGGUGUCGGGGGAAUCGACCCCCUCGGUGUCGUAGCCAACGCGUUAAGUGUUCCGCCUGGGGAGUACGCACGCAAGUGUGAAACUCAAAGGAAUUGACGGGGGCCCGCACAAGCGGUGGAGUAUGUGGUUUAAUUCGAUGCAACGCGAAGAACCUUACCAGGGUUUGACAUCCUGCGAAUCCCUUGGAAACGAGGGAGUGCCUUCGGGAGCGCAGAGACAGGUGGUGCAUGGCUGUCGUCAGCUCGUGUCGUGAGAUGUUGGGUUAAGUCCCGCAACGAGCGCAACCCACGUCUUUAGUUGCCAGCAUUCAGUUGGGCACUCUAGAGAGACCGCCGGUGAUAAACCGGAGGAAGGUGUGGAUGACGUCAAGUCAUCAUGCCCCUUACAUCCUGGGCUACACACGUACUACAAUGCUACGGACAAAGGGUUGCAAGCUCGCGAGAGUUAGCUAAUCCCAUAAACCGUGGCUCAGUUCAGAUCGUAGGCUGCAACUCGCCUACGUGAAGGAGGAAUCGCUAGUAAUCGCAGGUCAGCAUACUGCGGUGAAUACGUUCCCGGGCCUUGUACACACCGCCCGUCACACCAUGGAAGUUGGCCAUGCCCGAAGUCGUUACUCCAACCCUUGUGGAGGAGGACGCCGAAGGUGGGGCUGAUGACUGGGGUGAAGUCGUAACAAGGUAGCCGUACCGGAAGGUGCGGCUGGAUCACCUCCU